GAGAUUGUAAUUUAAUGGGUAGAAUUUUACUUUGUCGAAGUAAAUGUUGCGGGUUCAAAUCCCGUCAAUCUCG
This 73-nucleotide transfer RNA is filed under the name Nephromyces sp. ex Molgula occidentalis. Its description in RNAcentral is "tRNA-Asp". It matches the Rfam family "tRNA". From Rfam's summary of the family: Transfer RNA (tRNA) molecules are approximately 80 nucleotides in length. Their secondary structure includes four short double-helical elements and three loops (D, anti-codon, and T loops). The record is from RNAcentral. Lineage: Eukaryota; Apicomplexa; Aconoidasida; Nephromycida.